This 279-nucleotide ribosomal RNA is filed under the name uncultured bacterium. RNAcentral describes it as "partial 16S ribosomal RNA". It matches the Rfam family "Bacterial small subunit ribosomal RNA", at positions 506 to 784 of the family's 1533-position model. The record is from RNAcentral.
UGCCAGCAUCCGCGGUACUACUGAUUGUCCAAGCGUUGUCCGGAUUUAUCGGGUUUAAAGGGUACGUAGGCGGGACUUUAAGUCAGUGGUGAAAGCCUCCAGCUUAACUGGAGAAUUGCCAUUGAAACUGAAGUUCUUGAGUAUGGAUGAGGUGGUUGGAAUAUAACAUGUAGCGGUGAAAUGCAUAGAUAUGUUAUAGAACACCAAUUGCGAAGGCAGAUCACUAAACCAUUACUGACGCUGAGGUACGAAAGCGUGGGGAGCGAACAGGAUUAGAUA